UUAUCGAAGAAAAUCAAAAAUUAUCAGUAAAAGGAGUAGUUUUGGCUGGUUCUGGCGAA
Molecule: transfer RNA, 59 nt
Filed under: Hemiselmis andersenii
Lineage: Eukaryota; Cryptophyceae; Cryptomonadales; Hemiselmidaceae
Source: RNAcentral